ACAAUGGCAUUUCUGCAGCUCCUUAUGGCCAGGCUGCGCCAUGGAGCUGAGGGAAGCCCUGGGGUGCCAGAGGUGCCUGGUCUGGAGCUGCACAGGGAGGAGCCCAUUUCUGUCCCCAGAGCAAUGCUGGGCCCAGUGCCACAAGGGAGCUAGCUCCUCAUUGUGGCUGCAGGGGACAGAGACAAAUCAGCGGGUAAGAGCUUGGCAUUUUUCAGCCUUGAUGCCCAAUCGCUUCUGUGUUUUUUAAAUUAAGCUUGAAUUAAGCUUCAAGUCAAGAAGACUUUCCACAACUCCUGGAGUUGCGUCUGAGUUUUCACAUAAGCCCUGGGCUCAGUCUUGAUCUCUCUGAGAUAGGUGGCUUGUCCCAUGAGCUUGACCUUUCCCCAGAAGUCUGGACCCUCAAGUGGACAUGGACCUCUGGGCACCCUGCAAGCCUCCAGGCUGAGCACAGAUUCAAGAAGGGCAUCUGCUGCUCCACCCAGUGCUAACGGAGCUCACUCUGAUGGUGUUUGGCAGCCACCAGGAAAGGAAUUUGGUUGGAUCUCCUGAGAUGCAAGCACUUGGUUGACUGUAAAUAAACCUAUUUAAGUAGUUGCCUCUCUGCCUAGCAGGCAGUUUGGAGAACAUGGGAACUUUGGCCCUAAAGAAUGUAUAGCUUGUAACUUCUGGACUACUUGUUAUGAAGUCAUGUAUGUGAGAAUAAUGAAGGCAUCUCAUUAUAGGCUGUUCACAGCAACUGUGGUAGCAAAAAAAAAAAAAAAAAAGCCCUCGUGGAAGAUAUUAAGAGAUGAUCCCAAAGUAUGGUUUGAUGGAGUGUGGGGAAACAGGAUAAGGGUUUGAAGCCAUCCCUCAUGUAUUGCAACACUGAUGACUGCUGACUUGUCCUUCAGUGGUGCUGCCCACACCUGGGAGGAGGCCCUCCGUCCCCAGACUGUCUUUGCUGAGAGGAUAAAUCUGCUCUUUGAACCAUGUUCCAGUACCUUUCCUGGGUAGAAUUCACAGUUUUCUUUCAAUGAGAAGGAGGACCUGAAGCAUGGACCAACCUUGUUGAUAGAUGGAAAUAUGGGCCAGCAUUCAGCUCUGUAGUCCUCCUACAAGAAGUGCCUUUGGGGUGUUGCCUGGAGCAUUGUCAUGGCCCUGGGAGCUGCCAGGAUUUUACUGCUUCCUGUCUCACUGAGACCUGGUCAAAGUUUGAAAACCUGCGAUGUCUGCUGUCUGUAGCAUAGAUGGAGGCUAACAGCUGGAGAAUGUUGCCCCAUAAUGGGUCUCAGAGUCUUGGGAUCUUGCUGAAGAGGUGUGACAUUUAAAAUCUCUCAGGCCGUAAGCCAGACCCUCACUGCAGAGGCAGCCUCCCUUUACAUUUCUCCACAAGAUGCAAUGCGAAAAACCCUGUAAAGGUACUGGGACUCAUGUUCUCUUUCCAACAGUGCAAGAGAGGCUGCAGGGUCCAUGCAGGCAUAAUGUCUGCUGGGAAAUAGCUUCACUUUUAUGAAAUAAUUUCCAUGUGUCUUGGAGGGGGACAGAGUAAGAGAAGGUGGCAUGUGCUGGGUUGACUCUUGGUGUAACACAAAGGGACGCUUUGGGGCCCCAGUUCCUAAAAGAGUAAUAGCAGCACUCUGCCCUGGCAGCCCACUGAGCAUUAUUGUGGGUGUAUUUUUAUCAAGUGUGGGUUGUUUGCUGGUCAUAUACUUUUAGAUCCUCAAGUUCCUGCUGGGAGGAGAGAACUACAGCACUUUCAUAGCUCACCCAAAUCCUGCCACUGAGGAGAGCAGGAAUCACCUGAAGCUGAUAAGAAAUGCAGCCAGCACAGCAACUGGCCCUUCACCCUCCCCAGGGACCAUUAGGGUGGUUUCAACCUCUCAAAAUAUGUCUAUAUAUAGGGUCUGUUUUGUUUUUUAUGGUUUACAACUGAGGGUAUUGGCUACUGGAAUGUUUUAGGAAAAGGAAGGGGCUCCAGCAAGUGCAAGGGAGACGUUCUGCACCGGCGUGCGUGAGGUGAGGUGGGGUGAUGUGAGGUGAGGUGAGGGACAGGGGCAGGGUUAUUUCUGGAUCUCAGUGAGAAAGGCCUGACAACCAAUGUCUUAAUAAAGUAGUUGAUUUAGUAAGCUAAAAUAAAAAGCGGGACAAAUAAUUGCU
This is a long non-coding RNA of Oxyura jamaicensis (ruddy duck), 2136 nucleotides long. RefSeq lists it as uncharacterized. NCBI's taxonomy places the organism in Eukaryota, Metazoa, Chordata, Aves, Anseriformes, Anatidae. The transcript has 3 exons. The record is from RefSeq and is a predicted model, not a curated record.